AGAGUUUGAUCAUGGCUCAGAACGAACGCUGGCGGCGUGCUUAACACAUGCAAGUCGAACGCGAAAGUUUUCUUCGGAAGACGAGUAGAGUGGCGCACGGGUGAGUAACGCGUAAAUAAUCUACCCCUGCAUCUGGGAUAACCCACCGAAAGGUGUGCUAAUACCGGAUACGUUCUUUUAACCGCGAGGUUUUAAGAAGAAAGGUGGCCUCUGAUAUAAGCUACUGUGCGGGGAGGAGUUUGCGUACCAUUAGCUAGUUGGUAGGGUAAUGGCCUACCAAGGCAUCGAUGGUUAGCGGGUCUGAGAGGAUGAUCCGCCACACUGGAACUGGAACACGGACCAGACUCCUACGGGAGGCAGCAGUGAGGAAUAUUGCGCAAUGGGGGCAACCCUGACGCAGCGACGCCGCGUGGAUGAUGAAGGCCUUCGGGUCGUAAAAUCCUGUCAGAUGGAAAGAAGUGCAUAUGGAUUAAUAAUUCAUAUGUUUGACGGUACCAUCAAAGGAAGCACCGGCUAACUCCGUGCCAGUAGCCGCGGUAAUACGGAGGGUGCAAGCGUUGUUCGGAAUUACUGGGCGUAAAGCGCGCGUAGGUGGUCUGUUAUGUCAGAUGUGAAAGUCCACGGCUCAACCGUGGAAGUGCAUUUGAAACUGGCGGACUUGAGUACUGGAGGGGGUAGUGGAAUUCCCGGUGUAGAGGU
This 699-nucleotide ribosomal RNA is filed under the name uncultured bacterium. RNAcentral describes it as "bacterial SSU rRNA". It matches the Rfam family "Bacterial small subunit ribosomal RNA", at positions 8 to 682 of the family's 1533-position model. The record is from RNAcentral.